UUGCUGUGGCCACACUUCUUCUUGCGGCAGUUGGUGGACCUGAGGGGAAGGCGUGCAUAGCACCUGCAGGAGAAGACAGUGCCUCGCGGAGGUUGGGCUCGAUCCCCUUGGGGUAGCCGCCCCUGCUGCCACCGCGGAGGCGGAGCACCAGGUGAAGCGUCGACUCCUUCUGAAUGUUGUAGUCGGCCAGGGUGCGGCCAUCCUCGAGCUGCUUCCCCGCGAAGAUGAGACGCUGCUGGUCCGGCGGGAUACCUUCCUUGUCCUGGAUCUUGGCCUUGACGUUGUCGAUGGUGUCGCUGCUCUCCACCUCCAGCGUGAUCGUCUUCCCGGUGAGCGUCUUCACGAAGAUCUGCAUCUUG
This 359-nucleotide small RNA is filed under the name Oryza sativa Japonica Group (Japanese rice). Its description in RNAcentral is "sRNA Os09g0452750". The record is from RNAcentral. Lineage: Eukaryota; Viridiplantae; Streptophyta; Magnoliopsida; Poales; Poaceae.